RNAcentral lists this ribosomal RNA (1197 nucleotides) under human gut metagenome. RNAcentral's name for it is "bacterial LSU rRNA". It matches the Rfam family "Bacterial large subunit ribosomal RNA", at positions 1345 to 2560 of the family's 2925-position model. The record is from RNAcentral.
CCAAGGUUUCCAGGGUAAAGCGGAUCUGCCCUGGGUGAGUCGGGACCGAAGGUGAGGGCGAGAGACGGAGGCGAUGGACAACAGGUUGAUAUUCCUGUACUGCAGUAUGACAGAACUGUGGGGACACGUAAGGAGAGCGGGAGCCGGGAAUGGAAAGCCCGGUACAAGCGAGGUACCAGUAUGGUAGGAAAAUCCGCCAUGCAAUGGGAAGACGUGAUGUGGAGUGAAUUUUAGUAACGAAGCCCGUGAGCCAUGCGUCAAGAAAAGCCGCUAUUGUUCAUAUUGUACCCGUACCGUAAACCGACACAGGUGGAUGAGGAGAGAAUCCUAAGGCCGGCGGAAGAAGUAUUGCCAAGGAACUCGGCAAAAUGGCCCCGUAACUUAGGGAGAAGGGGUGCCUGCGAGAGCAGGCCGCAGAGAAUAGGCUCAAGCAACUGUUUAGCAAAAACACAGGUCUAUGCGAAACCGAAAGGUGAGGUAUAUGGGCUGACGCCUGCCCGGUGCUGGAAGGUUAAGAGGAGAGGUUAGCGGUAACGCGAAGCUUUGAAUUUAAGCCCCAGUAAACGGCGGCCGUAACUAUAACGGUCCUAAGGUAGCGAAAUUCCUUGUCGGGUAAGUUCCGACCCGCACGAAAGGCGUAAUGAUUUGAGCGCUGUCUCGGCAAUACAUCCGGUGAAAUUGAAGUGCCAGUGAAGAUGCUGGCUACCCGCGCCAGGACGGAAAGACCCCAUGGAGCUUUACUCCAGUUUGGCACUGGGGUCCGGUGUUGCAUGUACAGGAUAGGUGGGAGGCUGAGAAACGGUAACGUCAGUUGCCGCGGAGCCGCUGUUGGGAUACCACCCUUGUGAUAUUGGGCUUCUAACCAGCCGCCGUAAUCCGGCGGUGGGACAAUGCCAGGCGGGGAGUUUGACUGGGGCGGUCGCCUCCGAAAGGGUAUCGGAGGCGCCCAAAGGUUCCCUCAGAAUGGACGGAAACCAUUCGAAGAGUGCAAAGGCAGAAGGGAGCUUGACUGCGACACCGACGGGUGGAGCAGGUACGAAAGUAGGGCUUAGUGAUCCGGUGGUAUUAAGUGGGAAUGCCAUCGCUCAACGGAUAAAAGCUACCCUGGGGAUAACAGGCUUAUCACUCCCAAGAGUUCACAUCGACGGAGUGGUUUGGCACCUCGAUGUCGGCUCAUCGCAUCCUGGGGCUGUAGUA